CAUACAUAGUGAUGUGAAUUGCAGCUGUGGCUUGUGUUGGACGCUGAUCCAGCAUGUUUUUUUUUUUUUCUUCCCUGUUUCAUGUUCAGGCGCUCAGCGAUGGAAUCCAUGAUCAUGGUAACCUCUACUCCUGUCAUCUUUUCUGUUCAUCUCUUCCACACUCCUCCCACACCUCCCCCUCCUCUCCAGUAAGUGCCCUUUACUCUUCCAUCCUCCCCUCUACUCUCCUUUGUGCUGCUUCUGCUCCCUCUCACUGUGUCCAUUUCUCUCAUUCUGUUUUUUCCCUCUCCCUGCCCCUUUAGCCUUGCCACCGGGCAGAGGAGGAACUGUAAUGUUUAUGAAACCCUUUAAUGUGCUAUGUAAUUACCCUGGCAACACCUCCCAUCAUUACUCAUGCCAAUAAAGCACCUUCGAAUUGACAUGUCAGAGUGGGAGAGCGAGAGACAGAGAGAGAAAGAGAGAGAGAGAGGGGCAUAGCACACACACACUUUCCAUCAUUCACCCCCUCACUUCCAUUAAUCUCUCUUCCUUUCUUUUCUUCCCUCAGUCUCCAUUUGUUCACCUCCAUUUUGUCAUUUCUUUCAUUCUUUCCAUCCACUGCUCCUUCCUCUCCCUCUGCAUCCCCUUCUCUCCAGCUCACUGUGACUUCUGCCAGAUGCCCAGGUGGUGGUCAAUUACUGCACAACUCCUUUUGGAAUAACAAAAGCAUUCUUAAACUUGCUCCACUGAGCCUAUUUUAGGAAGAGUUGUAUGUUGGAUACUGGUUGAAUGGGCUCAAAGGAAAGGAGGAGAGGAAGAGAGACCUAGAGAGGGAGAGAGGGGGGGAGAAAUAAUUAUGAAAAAUAACACUUGCUGAAAGAGUGAAAAUGAGGAUGCAUAAAACAGGCAGGCAGCUGCAGGAGUAUCCUGAAUGAUGCAUUCCUUAAACAAAUAGUUUUGAGUAAUGCAGAAGUGUUUGUUUACGCUAAAAACUUCCAUAUGCAAUUAACACAUACUCCGAGCCUCUGAGCAGUUCCUCCCUUUCCAGCGCACCCACCCAUGCUAGUCCUCCGGUCACUAUACCUCCCACUUAGACAGUUGAGGCCCAGGCUCUUCUUGUGUUAGCACUUAUGCUAAGUCCCAUAGCUUUUCUCUACCGUUUGAGCAAAUGCUCAAACCCCAUUUGGUGCUUAAACGUCGGGCUCUUACUGUAAUGCCCUUUGCCCACCUUUGUUCAUCUGCAGCUGUAGCCUCUCAUUCUUCCUCUGUCCUGGCAAAAUCCUCAUUUGUAAGACAAAUAUUAUAACAAAUUAAGCAGCAAAACAAUGGGUGGGUGUCUGCCUGACGUCAGCCUGCAUUUCAUUAGCAAUCGCUAGGCUAACGUGUUCCAUAUGGAGGAGCCUGCAGGGUAGCCCCCUGCUGCCCAGCCCCAGCCUAGCCCAGCCCAGCAUGGCCCAGCUCAACUUGGUUGCCAAGGUCUGCCCCCACCUUCAGUCUCAGUCAGCCCCCAGUUUGGACCCCAUCCGGGCCCCCGCCAUUAUGUCAUCUUUAAUUUGGACUUGUCACACAUCACCUGACACCUACCCCCGUCAUGCUGUAACCUUUUGUCCCGUUGGAGCAAAAAAGCACUCCGGAGGCUUUCUCCCUCUCCUUUUCUCUCCCACUUUGCCUGUUGUUUUAUUCUCAUUCUUUCUCCUUCUCUCACGCCCUUUCCCACUCACUCACACUCUCUGUUGGCUUCUAUCACUUUCUCCCUUCCUCUCUUCAACCUCACUCCAUGUAGACCCACCUGCCUUUCCCCUCUGCCCUUUAUCAUAUAGACUUAAGUUAGAUGUGUGUGUCUGUGUGUGCCUGUAUGUGUGUGUGUUAUGAGCAGAGGAAACAACCAAGAAAAAUUCAGACAGGAAUCUGAGGACAUCUCUGCCCAGUCACCCUUAGCCAUUUUCCUAGACCCCCGACAGAUGAGCUGAGUGACAGUGAUAUAUGGGAAGUGACAGUCAGAGGGAAAGUAAAGUGUUCUGGAAAGAGCUAAAUUAUAGCACAUGACAGGAUUCUGGAGUCAGACUGGUGUGUUGGACAGAGCUGUGGACUUCUGGAGAGCGGCAGGGCCGUGGGGCUGUCUCCUGUGAUGGAAAUAUGGAAUGUGAUGGACCUCUGGAAUUUGAUAGAAGAAGAAGGACAGAGAUGGAAGAUGAGAGGAAACAACGCAGAUAAGAAAGGAUUCAUGAUAACAAACACGAGUUAAUGUGUUCAAUGUGUACUGGAAAAAAAGACGUGUAUGCAUGUGCGCUACAGGCUCGGCAGAGUUAUUGGAACAUUGCAGUCGUGCUUCCCGUGGCGUGGAUGCGGCCGGCGGGCACGUUCUUGGGGUUGCAGUAAAACAAGCAUCUAAUGACACCCCCUGUAACCACAGCAAAGGGGGGGCACGCGUCACCAGCGCUAACCCAGGAAAUGCUUUGGUUGGCCACAGGGUAAUUGGGACUGUCCCAUGUAAUUUGGGCGGAGAGGCAGGCAAGUUUGGCCGGCACUCCUGCACUUGUCUCUCCCUGGCUGUUGGUCAACCACACAGCACCACAGAAACGACAAAGGGAUGGAGGGAGGAGGAUUGAUGGAGGAGAUAGGGUACCGGAGAGAGAUAAGGCUGGAGUUGAGGAAAUUGGGAGAACGAGUGAAGACAGAAUACUGAGAGGCUGCAUGGAAAGAAAUCAGUGAAUAUAAAGAAGAGGGAAACUGUAGAGAUUGACGGAGUGGAUUUGUGUGUGUGUCUGUGUGUGUAUGUGUUUAAAGGAGUGUCACAGUAAGAGCAGAGAAAGUGAAUCGUGGCGUGUGUAUGGUGGGCAUUAUUUUUCCCCACACAGGUUCUCCUACGCUGAGGCAGAUGGAAAAUAGGAAAGGGGAGCAGGGGGAAAUUCAGCUUAGUCAGGUCUUCUGCUCCAGAAGUGUACUCAUCGCAGUGUGUGUGCGUGUGUGUUUUCUCUGUCUGUCAGGUCCUCUUCACAAGCAGCGCUCACUUUAAGUGGGACAGACAGCUCAAAGACUAAAGAGUUCUGUGUGUGCUGGCCCAAAACCACAGGCUAUGGGGUCACCGGCAGGUCCUCAUCUCCUCAGACCAGACCAGACGAUGAGGAGGGGAGCGGCUCGGUGCAGAGCGCAGCGGUGUGCUGUGUAGCAGUCUCCAAUCUGGGACAUGGCCUUGGGCAGCGACUAAAUGAAAAAUGAAACAGCGCAGCAGCGGGGCCUUAAAUGUUUGUAAAUCGGAGACUCACUAAACCGCGCUAAACACAAAAACACACACAGAGCAGACUCCAAACAGAUCUCCCGCAGAACAGCACCCCCUGACCUGCUUCCCUGGCCCGGUUCUGGCCGAAGUCCAAACCUACUCAGGUACACACCGAAGGCACUUUCUCUACCAGUGGCCUGCCUUGGGUUUAUUUUCCUUUUAAAGGCUGCUUUGUUUUCAUGAUUAAUCAGAGUGAAGGGAUCUCAAGCAGGAUUCAUGACCGCAAUUGAAUGCAUUUUUAACUUCAAUAAACAAAAUAUUUAGCAA
Dicentrarchus labrax (European seabass) is the source of this 3526-nucleotide long non-coding RNA. RefSeq lists it as uncharacterized. The record is from RefSeq and is a predicted model, not a curated record. The transcript has 3 exons. Lineage: Eukaryota; Metazoa; Chordata; Actinopteri; Moronidae.